GGAUAUUUUACCAUUCUCAAUAAAAGAUUAUUCAAUUCAUGAUACAAAGGCUCUUAGGGGGCUUGUAUUUGUUACAUAAUUACAAUUAUUUUACUUUACGUAGAUAGUACAAUCACGUGGUAAUUGAAGAUGCACAUGAGUGUCCAGAACACAAAAUAAGAAAAAAUGUACAGCAUGCAAGCCUUUCACCAAAGAAAGAAAAUAAAAAUGGACAAAAGAAGCAGCAGCAUCUAUAUAUAUAUAUACACAGCUCAUUUAUCCUUUCUGCAGCUUCCGUAGGUGCUCAAACUCUUUUAGUUGUGUCUUUAGAAGUGUAUGCUCCUGCUGCAUUUUGCCAAGCAGUGUUUCGACCAUAAACAUCUCAUCUUUUAGAUGAUUAAUCUUUUUAUCCAGAAAACCUAAUAUAUCAACACCCGUCUCUCCUAGUCGAUACAUGCUACUUGCAGAGUCCCCUUGAGAUAUCACUUGGACGUGCUGUGGUCUGCCUAAUAACACGAGUAUGCUCAUCUGCAUUAGAAUCAGUAUCACAGCAAUGGUGAUCACUAUAAGAAUGGAAACAUGGCUCUGAGAUUUCAAGGACGCUGAACACUUGAGCAUGAAGUCUCUACAGGAGGAAGUUAAGGACACAGUACUGCUAUCUGCAGCUUGCUGGUUGAGCGGCGGUAUUUGUGACCUGAUUUCCUUACUUGUCUCAACUAUGUUCUCUACAUGUUCAUAACUUUCUUUUGGCUGAGCACUUGUUACAACAUUAGCAGCUAGACAAUCAGCUUUUUCCUUCUCUAACUUCUUUUGCUUCAACAGUUCACGCGCAAGGGCAAUCCAUUUGACAUACAAGGCUCGACAUUCAUCAAUUGUAGACUGCACUAUCUUCCCUCUAAAUAUAGUUUUCUUUGUAAAUACCAGAUUUAGGUACACCUUCAUAAUGCAGC
RNAcentral lists this unclassified non-coding RNA (929 nucleotides) under Hevea brasiliensis (rubber tree). The record is from RNAcentral. Lineage: Eukaryota; Viridiplantae; Streptophyta; Magnoliopsida; Malpighiales; Euphorbiaceae.